Molecule: ribosomal RNA, 374 nt
Filed under: Ostreococcus sp.
Lineage: Eukaryota; Viridiplantae; Chlorophyta; Mamiellophyceae; Mamiellales; Bathycoccaceae
Description: partial small subunit ribosomal RNA
Rfam family: Eukaryotic small subunit ribosomal RNA
Source: RNAcentral
AUUCCAGCUCCAAUAGCGUAUAUUUAAGUUGUUGCAGUUAAAAAGCUCGUAGUCGGACUUUGGCUGAGAACGGUCGGUCCGCCGUUAGGUGUGCACUGACUGGUCUCAGCUUCCUGGUGAGGAGGUGUGCUUCACGGCCACUUAGUCACCGUGGUUACUUUGAAAAAAUUAGAGUGUUCAAAGCGGGCUUACGCUUGAAUAUAUUAGCAUGGAAUAACACCAUAGGACUCCUGUCCUAUUUCGUUGGUCUCGGGACGGGAGUAAUGAUUAAGAGGAACAGUUGGGGGCAUUCGUAUUUCAUUGUCAGAGGUGAAAUUCUUGGAUUUAUGAAAGACGAACUUCUGCGAAAGCAUUUGCCAAGGAUGUUUUAAUCA